GUGGAUCAGUGGCGAACGGGUGAGUAACACGUGAGCAACCUGCCCUGGACUCUGGGAUAAGCGCUGGAAACGGCGUCUAAUACUGGAUAUGAGACGUGAUCGCAUGGUCGUGUUUGGAAAGAUUUUUCGGUCUGGGAUGGGCUCGCGGCCUAUCAGCUUGUUGGUGAGGUAAUGGCUCACCAAGGCGUCGACGGGUAGCCGGCCUGAGAGGGUGACCGGCCACACUGGGACUGAGACACGGCCCAGACUCCUACGGGAGGCAGCAGUGGGGAAUAUUGCACAAUGGGCGGAAGCCUGAUGCAGCAACGCCGCGUGAGGGAUGACGGCCUUCGGGUUGUAAACCUCUUUUAGCAGGGAAGAAGCGAAAGUGACGGUACCUGCAGAAAAAGCGCCGGCUAACUACGUGCCAGCAGCCGCGGUAAUACGUAGGGCGCAAGCGUUAUCCGGAAUUAUUGGGCGUAAAGAGCUCGUAGGCGGUUUGUCGCGUCUGCUGUGAAAUCCCGAGGCUCAACCUCGGGCCUGCAGUGGGUACGGGCAGACUAGAGUGCGGUAGGGGAGAUUGGAAUUCCUGGUGUAGCGGUGGAAUGCGCAGAUAUCAGGAGGAACACCGAUGGCGAAGGCAGAUCUCUGGGCCGUAACUGACGCUGAGGAGCGAAAGGGUGGGGAGCAAACAGGCUUAGAUACCCUGGUAGUCCACCCCGUAAACGUUGGGAACUAGUUGUGGGGACCAUUCCACGGUUUCCGUGACGCAGCUAACGCAUUAAGUUCCCCGCCUGGGGAGUACGGCCGCAAGGCUAAAACUCAAAGGAAUUGACGGGGACCCGCACAAGCGGCGGAGCAUGCGGAUUAAUUCGAUGCAACGCGAAGAACCUUACCAAGGCUUGACAUAUACGAGAACGGGCCAGAAAUGGUCAACUCUUUGGACACUCGUAAACAGGUGGUGCAUGGUUGUCGUCAGCUCCUGUCCUGAAAAGUUUGGGUUAAGUCCCGCAACGAGCGCAACCCUCGUUCUAUGUUGCCAGCACGUAAUGGUGGGAACUCAUGGGAUACUGCCGGGGUCAACUCGGAGGAAGGUGGGGAUGACGUCAAAUCAUCAUGCCCCUUAUGUCUUGGGCUUCACGCAUGCUACAAUGGCCGGUACAAAGGGCUGCAAUACCGUAAGGUGGAGCGAAUCCCAAAAAGCCGGUCCCAGUUCGGAUUGAGGUCUGCAACUCGACCUCAUGAAGUCGGAGUCGCUAGUAAUCGCAGAUCAGCAACGCUGCGGUGAAUACGUUCCCGGGUCUUGUACACACCGCCCGUCAAGUCAUGAAAGUCGGUAACACCUGAAGCCGGUG
Molecule: ribosomal RNA, 1334 nt
Filed under: Microbacterium testaceum
Lineage: Bacteria; Bacillati; Actinomycetota; Actinomycetes; Micrococcales; Microbacteriaceae
Description: bacterial SSU rRNA
Rfam family: Bacterial small subunit ribosomal RNA
Source: RNAcentral